RNAcentral lists this ribosomal RNA (430 nucleotides) under uncultured bacterium. RNAcentral describes it as "partial 16S ribosomal RNA". It matches the Rfam family "Bacterial small subunit ribosomal RNA", at positions 354 to 796 of the family's 1533-position model. The record is from RNAcentral.
GUGAGGAAUAUUGCACAAUGGGCGAAAGCCUGAUGCAGCAACGCCGCGUGAGGGACGACGGCCUUCGGGUUGUAAACCUCUUUUAGUAGGGAAGAAGCGAAAGUGACGGUACCUGCAGAAAAAGCACCGGCUAACUACGUGCCAGCAGCCGCGGUAAUACGUAGGGUGCAAGCGUUAUCCGGAAUUAUUGGGCGUAAAGAGCUCGUAGGCGGUCUGUCGCGUCUGCUGUGAAAACUGGAGGCUCAACCUCCAGCCUGCAGUGGGUACGGGCAGACUAGAGUGCGGUAGGGGAGAUUGGAAUUCCUGGUGUAGCGGUGGAAUGCGCAGAUAUCAGGAGGAACACCGAUGGCGAAGGCAGAUCUCUGGGCCGUAACUGACGCUGAGGAGCGAAAGCGUGGGGAGCGAACAGGAUUAGAAACCCCGGUAGUCC